ACUGUUACUCUCUCUUUCUCCUCCCACAUACAGACCCACGCCUCUCUACCUCCCAAAAAGACCGGAUUAGUAUGAUAUUGAUUUCAGGAGGUGUUGGUUUUAGGACAUAAAUUUUGGGAUUGGAGAAGCUUCUAAGUGGGUCAAGGGGAAGCAAUUGGAAGAAGUUGUGGCCAUUAAAAACACAUAUGGGAUUGGUGGCAAAAAGAUGGCUUUUGUGGGACUAUUUGAACUCAAAUAAUUUUCUAUAAAGUUUGGAAGCUAAGACAUCAUUUGUAUAUAAAUGGUUGUAAUUACUUUGUGAACAUCUUUAUUGCAUUUUGAGAUUGUAUGGAUUUAUUUAUUUAUUUA
Long non-coding RNA from Quercus lobata, 348 nucleotides. RefSeq lists it as uncharacterized. Lineage: Eukaryota; Viridiplantae; Streptophyta; Magnoliopsida; Fagales; Fagaceae. The transcript is spliced from 4 exons. The record is from RefSeq and is a predicted model, not a curated record.